CGAGGUGGAGCAAAUCCCUAAAAGCCAUCCCAGUUCGGAUCGCAGGCUGCAGCCCGCCUGCGUGAAGUUGGAAUCGCUAGUAAUCGCGGAUCAGCAUGCCGCGGUGAAUACGUUCCCGGGCCUUGUACACACCGCCCGUCACACCAUGAGAGUCGGGAACACCCGAAGUCCGUAGCCUAACCGCAAGGGGGGCGCGGCCGAAGGUGGGUUCGAUAAUUGGGGUGAAGUCGUAACAAGGUAAC
RNAcentral lists this ribosomal RNA (242 nucleotides) under uncultured bacterium. RNAcentral describes it as "partial 16S ribosomal RNA". It matches the Rfam family "Bacterial small subunit ribosomal RNA", at positions 1258 to 1500 of the family's 1533-position model. The record is from RNAcentral.